CAAUAGCGUAUAUUAAAGUUGUUGCGGUUAAAAAGCUCGUAGUUGGAUUUCUGCUGAGGACGAUCGGUCCGCCCUCUGGGUGAGUAUCUGGCUCGGCCUUGGCAUCUUCUUGGAGAACGUUACUGCACUUGACUGUGUGGUGCGGUAUCCAGGACUUUUACUUUGAGGAAAUUAGAGUGUUUCAAGCAGGCGCACGCCUUGAAUACAUUAGCAUGGAAUAAUAAGAUAGGACCUUGGUUCUAUUUUGUUGGUUUCUAGAGCUGAGGUAAUGAUUAAUAGGGAUAGUUGGGGGCAUUCGUAUUUAACGGUCAGAGGUGAAAUUCUUGGAUUUGUUAAAGACGGACUACUGCGAAAGCAUUUGCCAAGGAUGUUUUCAUUGA
This 380-nucleotide ribosomal RNA is filed under the name uncultured eukaryote. RNAcentral's name for it is "partial 18S ribosomal RNA". It matches the Rfam family "Eukaryotic small subunit ribosomal RNA", at positions 592 to 976 of the family's 1831-position model. The record is from RNAcentral.